RNAcentral lists this ribosomal RNA (245 nucleotides) under uncultured Butyrivibrio sp. RNAcentral's name for it is "partial 16S ribosomal RNA". It matches the Rfam family "Bacterial small subunit ribosomal RNA", at positions 524 to 767 of the family's 1533-position model. The record is from RNAcentral. Lineage: Bacteria; Bacillati; Bacillota; Clostridia; Lachnospirales; Lachnospiraceae.
UACGUAGGGGGCAAGCGUUAUCCGGAUUUACUGGGUGUAAAGGGAGCGUAGAUGGUUAGACAAGUCUGAAGUGAAAACCCGCGGCUCAACCGUGCGGAUUGCUUUGGAAACUGUGUAACUAGAGUACUGGAGAGGUAAGCGGAAUUCCUAGUGUAGUAGUGAAAUGCGUAGAUAUUAGGAAGAACAUCAGUGGCGAAGGCGGCUUACUGGACAGCAACUGACAUUGAGGCUCGAAGGCGUGGGGA